Armigeres subalbatus is the source of this 577-nucleotide long non-coding RNA. RefSeq lists it as uncharacterized. The record is from RefSeq and is a predicted model, not a curated record. The transcript has 2 exons. NCBI's taxonomy places the organism in Eukaryota, Metazoa, Arthropoda, Insecta, Diptera, Culicidae.
UACUAGAAUGAGAAAUGAAAAAUAAUCUGUAGUAAAAGUAUCAUUAAUGAUAUGAUCUGGGUUGUUUUUUACACACGACUGCAGGGUUGAGGUUUGUUUUAUUUUUAGUGCAAUAGAUACAUUUCUGUCAGCGGCAGUUGCUCGACUUGAGCCAAUACUGGUAAUAUUUUUUUUCCUUAAAGUCGGCGGUAAUACAAAGAGUGAAAGUGAAACAACGAAAGAAAAUAAAAAUUGGAUAAUUUGAAAAGAUUAAUAUGCAUAAACAUUCGCUGGUUGGUGGUUGGUUGGUGGUAAAAUGGUUUUAUGGCACUGCGCUAGCGGAUCUUGCAACGGAUUCAGCUAAACUGCGAGGAUAUGCCUGUGAAGGUAAGAAUUUUCUUGGACCUUCUUUAAUGUAUGUGGUGUGCGAAGAGUAAAGUAUUAAGACCUAACGUUGACCCAAUAGCUGAACGGUAUCACAACAGACCGUGUCAGGAUGCCGGAACUCUGGUAGAUAUACUAAGCCUUCAGCACAAUGUAUCCGAUGAUCCCGUAUUGCGUCACGACCAAUUGUAAUAAACUUUCAACCAGCGUUCAA